RNAcentral lists this unclassified non-coding RNA (3735 nucleotides) under Polistes fuscatus (common paper wasp). Its description in RNAcentral is "serine/threonine-protein phosphatase 6 regulatory subunit 3, transcript variant X1". Lineage: Eukaryota; Metazoa; Arthropoda; Insecta; Hymenoptera; Vespidae. The record is from RNAcentral.
CAUCUGUAAAAUCGUAAAGCGUGAUACACAUUGAACGAUUAAGGCUGUAUUAAAUGUAAACUUGGAUGACCACUUGAAACUUUAAAGAAAUAUAUAUUAUACUAGAGAUUGUGUCUUCGGUUGAAGUGAUCAUCAUAGUUUAAGCAUACUGUGAAAUUAGAAGCAUUUCUUAACUUGGUGUUCGCCUUUAAAAAGGUUCUCUUUUGUGGCUAACGUCAAUGUUAAUAAAACUAUAUUCAUUCGUUCUCAUAGUUUUCCAUUUGUGAAAAAUGACAUCGUAAAAUAUUAUUAUUAUAAUAUUAUCAUCAGUGGGAAUAAAAUAAUUCUCUAUCGUUAGUGUCUCCCAUCCGUCGUCGCGUUUACAAAUACCGUUGAAGAUUUUUUCUAAUAGUAUCAUCAAAUCGUUAUACUUUCAUGCAAUGUUAGUAGUUUGCCGCUUUGCGCUCAAGACGUAUUACGUUAUUUUUUUAGUAGACGGCAUACCAAUGUUGUGAUUAUCGCAUUUUGUGAUAAAAAUUAACGACGAUUAACCACUCCGAGUAAUACCAUCGCAUCAUGUUCUGGACUAAUAAUUACGUAUCAUCGCCUCAUAUUGAAGCGUUGCUUAACAAAGAGAAUGUUACGUUGCACGAAUUAAUGGAUGAAGAGGACAUCUUACAAGAAUGUAAGAGUCAAAACAAAAAGUUAAUCGAAUACCUUGUAAGGCCCGAUGUAAUGGAAGAAUUAGUAAUGCUUACAACUAUGGAACCAUCUAUCGAUAUUGAAGAACGUUUGCGUUACAAAUAUCCUAAUGUUGCAUGUGAAUUACUUACUUGCGAUGUGCCAACGCUUAAUGAGAAGUUAGCAGGUGACAAAACACUUCUGAACAAAUUAUAUGCUUUUAUAGACACCGAUCAACCUUUAAAUCCCUUGUUAGCAUCGUUUUUUAGUAAAACCAUUGGUGUACUCGUUGCUCGUAAGAGUGAUCAGAACUGGUAUUCCUAUCAGUUCACAUGUUUACAGGUUAUAGAAUUUCUUCAAGGCCAACAAAAUUGCGUAGACUUACUCUUACAACAUUUAGAGACUUCCGCUAUUAUGGACUUAAUAUUAAAACUAGUAACGCAAGUUGAAGGAGGUCAUCUGCGACAAAAUAUAUUAAAUUGGUUAGAUAGUCAACAGUUAGUACAAAGGUUGAUUAAAUUAUUGUCUCCUACGUCGGAGCCAACAAAACACGCAAAUGCUUCUCAAUUACUUUGUGACAUGGUAAUCGUAGCAAGAGAAAAUCAACGUACGUCAACAGAGCAAAUAAAACCAGGUCCUAUUUUGAAUACUUUAAAGUCAGAAGAAACUGUAAGUUUAUUAUUAGAGACAAUCUUGACAAGUGAAAAAUCAGAAAGCAGUAUUGUGGGUGGGAUUCAAGUGCUUCUUACCCUUCUGGGUCAAAAAGUAAACACUGCCUUAAAUGAAGUCGACAUUCAUGGAAAUGGUUCCAACGAAGACAUGACAGAUGAUAACGAACAAUGUAUUAACAUUUCUAAUGCUACUAUACCCUACUUGGAACAACUUCAUAAACUUCUUUUAGAUCCACCAGUUAAAGCUCCUGUAAAAACAACAGCUGGAAUUUUAGAUUGUCCAUUGGGCAAGACACGCUUGCAUGUCGCAAGAUUAUUAAUGGCCUUGUUAUCAACCGAAAAUGUAAAAAUUCAUGAAGCAUUGGCAGAUUUAGGAACAUUCCAAACUUUAUUGGAUCUAUUUUUUAAAUACACAUGGAACAAUUUCUUACACACACAAGUACAACAAUGCCUAGCUUUAGCUAUUAAUUGUGAUUAUCAAGAUAAUAAUAAUAUUUAUAGCAAUAUAUUUGUUAAAUGCAGAUUGAUAGAACGUAUUUUGGAAGCUUGGGAAAAGAAUGAGAAUAAACAAAACAAAGAGAAUGGUAUUAGACAAGGAUAUAUGGGUCACUUAAUAAAUAUAGCGAAUAAUAUUGUACUACAAUGUGAAAAAAAUAAUGCGCUUGAUACUUUUGUGAAAACAAAUUUAUCAACCGAAUGUCUUAAUAAGUGGGAAAUACUUGUGAAUACGAAACUAGUGGAAAUCAACAAAACACGUGCAAUCUUCUUGAUUAGACCAACAGCAAAUAUGCCCAACUCUGAAGAUACUCCGGAUCGCUACUAUUUGAAAGAGAUGUACACUGACUAUCAGGGUCAACAAAUGACAUCCACUUUUAUUGAUAAUUUCGGAUUUCGUGAUAACCAAUUUGAUGCUGGGGAUGAUUCACUUCAUAGCUCCGCUGAUGAAAUAACAGCGUUGGCCUUUAAAAGGAUUAAUCUCGCCGAUGAAGAAAUGGAUCCAAGAGCAGAUCUAUUUGAUAAGAUCUGUCAGCAAAAACAAAAAGCAGGGCUUGAGGAAUGUGGUGGUGGAGCUGAAUGGACCGAUGAAGGUGACUUGACUUUCCAGACAGUAGUAGACAAACGAGAUUGGCACUCAAAACAACAUCAUGGAUCUAGUUCAUCCGAUGAAGACGAUGAAGAUCCUCGAGAUAUGCCCAUGGAAAUUGAUACUUCAGAUGUUUGGAAUUUUCCAGAACCAAUUCCAGCUAAUACAACAAUUCCCGAGGUAAACCCAUGGGAUGUUGUACCAUCAGAACCUCUUGAAUCUACUGGCUGGGCAAACUUUGAUAAUUUUGAAAGUACUUUAAGCAUAGAAAAUAAUAUUGCGGUAGAUAAUAAAACUUACGAAACAGUUACAAAAGACAUUGUUGAUGCAGCAACAAGUUUGGUCGAGAAGGAGACAGCACUGGAAAACAAAUCUGUGGAAAAUAUUGGAGGUGGUGAUUCUAUAACUGUAGAUUUGGUUGAUAGUACAUCCCAUCUGUCUACAGAAGCAAAUCAAAACAGUAAAGCUAGUGAUGAUAGUAUAUAUUCUGUAUGUACCUCUGACAAGAAUGCCAAUCCAAGUGAAAGAACACCUGAAACCAGAGAGGACAGUAAGAAUGAGUAUGUGAAAAAUUCGAUCGAAAAUGAUAAAACAUUAACUGAAAACAAAAUUGUUUGUGCUGUACAAAGUACACCAUCAGAUACAACGUUAAUGUCUAAGGAUGCCAAAUGAAAUGUUAAGAUUUAUUAAAAAAAUAUGGCAAUAGGAAAAGAAAAUCAUAUCAGUAUGAAUUAUGUACGGAUGUCUAGAACAUCUUGUGUCUUUAUUUUCAUUAGAUCACAUGAAUUAUACUUUACAGCAUUGGCGCUGGGCACUAAUUACGGCAGGAUUGCCAAUGUACAAGUCAACUUUUGCAAGUGGAAUGUCCUAAGUUUUUUUUUAUAUAAGGACUACUAACAAACUUUCGAAAAUUGUUAUUUAUACGUAUUCGAUAUAAAUGCAAGUAGUUGAAAGGAUAUAUUCAACUGAUGCAGGUUUAUCUUGUAUUGUUUUACAUUUGCAUGCUGAGAUAGACGAAAUAUAUAAUUGUACAAAAAAGAGCUAACCAAAUUAAGGACAUUUGUGCCUUUACUUGGUUUACUCGUUAUCUGUUUUCACAGAACAAGUAUUAUGUAGCAUUAUGGACUAUAAUGUUUUAAGUAACUUGGAUAUGAGGCUCUUUAUGGAAAGUCAUUGUAACGAUAUAUUUCACAACAGGUGCUUUAGCUUCUACAUUCAACAAGGCAAAGGUACUUAGAUGCAGUGCCUACUAUUUGCUUGAGUGUAUGCCCAUGCAACGAUGCGAUGUAAAAAAAGAAAGAAAAAAAAAGUAAACAAAAA